Molecule: non-coding RNA, 7394 nt
Organism: Podarcis muralis (Common wall lizard)
Lineage: Eukaryota; Metazoa; Chordata; Lepidosauria; Squamata; Lacertidae
Source: RefSeq, a predicted model, not a curated record
GAGCCUUUUCAUUCCUCUUCCUUUCAUAUUUUUUCUUCUUCACUGCUAGUGCUUCAAGGGGAGAUAUCCACCACAGAGUUUUAGGUUCAAGCAAAUCUUUGUAUUUUCCCAAACCAUAUAGAGAGGUUUCCUUAUAAUAUGAUUAUUUUUUGUGUGUGGAUCUUAACUUUAUCAUAACCUUAAGUAGGCAUGCCAGCCAUAACGAUUGUAUUGUCCUUCCAGGUCUAGAAGGUCUGUGUUUUGUAGUGUACACCAUUCCUUGAUCCAGGAGAGAUAGGCCGCUGCAUGAGACCUGUAGCAGACUUGGAGAACGUGGUUCAGAGUUUUGGGCAUCUGGCACCCGCCGCGACAUAGCCGGUCAGCUCUCCGCCCCCUGGCCAAGCGGGACCUGGUUGGAAGCGCAUUGAUGUGCAUCUGAAUGGAGUUACGAUAGUCCUUGCCUGACAGGAACUUAGUGCAGCCGUAGACCCAGUUGUGCUGGCUAUGGGUUUUCCCAGACUCCUUCAAUGCACAGCCAUCCACCGAUUGGUACAGGAGACUGGCCCAUCGGCGUUUUUGUGCCUGAGCUGGGAACAGGCAGUUCCCCCUCUCUAGUAUCCGCCCCUCUAACAGAGAGAGCUCCCACCUCAGAAAGGUCCCAGAUGUAGACUGCUCCGUCCUUACCAGUGGCAGUCGUAGGAGCUGAUCCCUACAAAGUCGUAGCAUCAUCCAGCGCAUCGCCGGAAUUCCUAGGCCUCUGUCAUUGACCUUAGUGUGGAAGUACGCGACAGGUGUACUAUCCGGGAGACCUAGCCACUUUCUCACUGCCGUCCUCACACAGCGGUCCACUCUGUUGAGCAGCCCCACUGUGGUUGAGCCCAUAGAGAGCUGAUGGUAUAGCGACGGCAUGAAAGCCAAACAUCCAUUGCUGAGGCUUCAAGGCAGCUUUGCCGAUGGUGUCCAGGAGCUCCCUGAGAUGGUCCAGAGGCCGAGUUGCCAUGCAUCCUUCUGGCGUGAAGGGCACGGCCAGGUAGUGCCACUGGUCCGACUGUUUGAGAGCUUGCAAUGGUUUGCUGUUACAGGUGAAUACCUGCCGCAGGUUCACCACUGUUUUCUUCUCCUUGGGGAUGACUUCCAAGGAUACUGUCAAGCUCUUCCCAGAGUUUACAGUGAGGCCACAUAGUGCUAGAUGUCUACCCACUAUGCCGAUGGUAGUUUGUAGCCCUACUGGUGUAGACGCCACAAACACCAGGUCGUCUGCAAAGGCUACGCCGUUCACUGUCAUGCCUUCUCCCAGGUCGGCCCCUAACUCCUUCGGUAUCUUCCGGAGGAGACGGUCCAUGAUCAUAUUAAAUAUGCAGGGUGACAUGGGGUCACCCUGCUUCACCCCACACCUGGGGUGAAAUUCCUGGGAGGUCGCGCCACCGCACGAAAGUACGGUGGUACUCCGGUCAUAGACAUCACUUAUAUAGUGUGUCAUUGGGUCGGGGAUCCCCAUCAUCUGAAGGGUUUCCUUGAUGGUACUAUGGGCCACAGAGUCAAACACUUUCGCCACGUCCAGGGAUGCCAAGUACAAUGGUUUCGACCGCUGCUUGUGGUUCCGGAGUACCAUAUCCAGGAGGAAGAUGUUUUCGGAACACCCAUCGAACUGCUGGAAGGCCCGUUGUCUAGGGUCUAGGUUGACUUCCCGAGUCAACCGCGCAGCCAGGACCUUGUGGAAGACUCUGGUCAAUACUGGGGAGACAGUUAUGGGGCGGAAGUCUCCCGGAUCUUGGGCACGAUCUUUUUUGGGAAUCAGUGUUGUUCGAGUCCCCAGCAACGACUGGGGGCAUUUCCCACAUACCAUAAUUAGGUUGAAGAGCCGCUCCAGCGCACCUAGAGGCAGCUUCUUCACCUGUUCGACAGUCAUUCCGUCAGGUCCUGGCGCCGUUGAGUAGCAAAUAUUCAAACGAGAACCUUGAAGGCCGAAGUGGAGAAGGGUUCCAUGUGAACAGCAGUUGAACAUGGGUCGGUCGGUCCUAACCAAUUCCUGGUAGGCCUGCUGGCGCCUAUGGGCUUUUAUCGCCUCAGCUGUUCUCUCUGGGAAUUUUUCCAUCAGGGCUAGGUUCAUAUGGCAUGCCCCCUAGGUUAGGAGUCUAGCCUCUCUUGCCAAGCAGUGCUGUUUCCUCAGGGGUCCAUCUCCUUUUCACCUGAUGAGUGUUGUGCGUCAUACCAAUCUGGGUGGGCUCGUCGGUGAUGGACACCACGUCCGGUCUUGGUGUUAAAGGCUUUCUCGCAAUCUUGGUGUUCGCAUACGAAAACUGGUUGUUCCACUGCAGGAACUACACCAGGUCCAGCAGCACAGGAGCUGCUCCUCACCUGGGUGGUUCGGUCAGAUGACCCGCCACCUCUCUUUGUGUUUCCGCAACGAUUCAUUCCCGCAAGGGGUCUGGGUGAGGAUGAGCUGAACCUCUCUGGCAAGGACCCAGAGGUUCAGAUAAGCCUUCCCUGUUAGCCGCCUAAAGACGUUGCCGCCUAAAGACAUUGCCCGACUCUCACCACGAGGAGGUAGGGAUAGAUUGAUCAGUAUAACAUCACAGAUCAUCAGCUGCCUUUUUUUUUAUCAUCAUCGGGACGCCACGCCCCUCAGACAUUGCUUCUGAUUAACUGCAGAAGUACGGAUUUUUUAUACAAGCAGUCCCGUGCCAGCCUGGGCAAUUUCCUGGGCGCUCACAAACCAGCACUGACGGUUGCCGUUGUCUUGUUAAAGAUACUAUGAGCAUAGAUGCCACCGAUCAACACCCGAGACGAGAGAACCUUGAGAUCUUGUUUCCGGACAAUACCCAGGGCCAACAGGUCCUCCGCCGAGCGAUCACUCCACACUCCUCUGCAGGAGAGCGUUGCAGAUGUGGUGCUCAGGUCUUCCACUUGGUAGCGCUCUUUUACCAACUCCAGGAGACUGGUGUUCCCUGCGUAAUACUGGACUUUCUGGGCGUGAGCCCUCCGCAGGUCUGCCUGCUCGCCCACCACCUGGGCGUCGAUUAUAUGUGCGGUUCGUCCAAUACUCGCUACUAUGUCAGGUUUCCUCAAACCUCCUGAUGUUCGAAAGUGAGGCUCCAAAUCCACAUGAUACCCCUGUCUCCAAAGUCCUUUAGCGAUAUAUUUUACUACAGCAUUAUGCCGGCGGACCCUAGCCGCAUGAGACCUGUAGCAGACUUGGAGAACGGUGGUACUCCAGUCAUAGACAUCACUUAUAUCGUGUGUCAUUGGGUUGGGGAUCCCCAUCUGAAGGGUUUCCUUGAUGGUACUAUGGGCCACAGAGUCGAAUGCUUUCGCCACAUCCAGGGAUGCUUAAUACAACGGUUUCGACCGUUGCUUGUGGUACCGAAGUACCAUGUCCAGGAGAAAGAUGUUUUCGGAACACCCAUCGAACUGCUGGAAGGCCCGUUGUCUGGGAUCUAGGUCGACUUCUCUAGUCAACUGCGCAGCCAGAACAUUGUGGAAGACUCUGGUCAGUACUGGGGAGGCAGUUAUGGGGCGGAAGUCUCCCGGAUCUUGGGCAUGAUCUGUUUUGGGAAUCAGUGUUGUUCGAGUCCCCAGCAACGACUGGGGGCAUUUCCCACAUACCAUUAUUAGGUUGAAGAGCCGUUCCACAGCGCCUAGAGGCAGCUUCUUCACCUGUUCCACGGUCAUUCUGUCAGGUCCUGGCGCCGUUGAGACCGAUGAUAUGGCUCUCUUAAUCUCAGCAGCCAUCAUGGGUUCCCAUAUGGAUGUUAUAACAUCUCUCCUGGGGCCAGGGCCAGGUAAGCAGUCCGGAGCCCUGGUCAUUAGCUUUUCGCAGUACGGAAAGAGGCUCGCGUCAUUUUCUAUUGGCACGUCCCUGUUCUUAUCAAGAGCCCACUUAAUACAUUUAGUGGGACUCUUAUGCCAUAGAUGUUGGAAUUUGGCAUAUUGCUCUCGCCUCUUCUGCCUAUUAGACGUCCGUUGUUCUUGGCUACUUCGUUCCCCUCUCUGCGCCUUCCAGGGUCGUGUACCCUGCAUGUCCCGCACAACCAGGGACAGCUCUUCAUACACGUCGGUGAGCGUCCUCGACCCGACGGUGGGACUCAGCCUUUCCAAUCGCACAAGGUGUUCCGUGGUGGUUGGCAUUCUGGGGAGCUGCUGCAGGUGUUGUAUCAGCCUGUCACACAACUGGGUAUUCGAAGCUUCCACCACAGGUUGAGGGGCUGGUCCGUCUACCACCUCUAGCUGUUCCUGGGUAUACGUCGCAACCAAUUCCCGGUAGGCCUGCUGGCGCCUAUGGGCUUUUAUUGCCUCAGCUGUUCUCUCUGGGAAUUUCUCCAUCAGGGCUAGGUUCAUAUGGCAUGCCCCUGAGGUGAGGAGUCUGGCCUCCUCUCUAGCCAGCAGUGCUGUUUCCUCAGGGGUCCAUCUCCUUUUCACCUGAUGCGUGUUCUGUUGUGCAUCAUACCAAUCUGGGUGGGCUCGUCGGUGAUGGACACCGCGCCCGGUCUUGGUGUUAAAGGCUCUCUCGCAAUCUGGGUGUUCGCAUACGAAAACUGGGAUUUCCACCGCAGGAACUACACCAGGCCCAGCAGCACGGGAGCUGCUCCUCACCUGGGUGGUUCGGUCAGAUGACCCGCCACCUCUCUUUGCAUUGCCGCAAGGAUUCAUAUCCGCUAGGGAUCUGGGUGAGGAUGAACUGAACCUCUCUGGCAAGGACCCAGAGGUUCAGAGUAAGCCUUCCCUGUUAGCCGCCUAAAGACGUUACCGCCUAAAGACGUUGCCCAACUCUCACCACGAGGAGGUAGGGAUAGGCACGUGGAAAAGACCACGAAAAUCGAUCAGUAGAACAUCACAGAUCAUCAGCUGCCAUUUUCCUUAAGAGAGUCAUAGUUACUCCCGCCGUUUACCCGCGCUUCAUUGAUUUUCUUCACUUUGACAUUCAGAGCACUGGGCAGAAAUCACAUCGCGUCAACACCCGCCGCGGGCCUUCGCAAUGCUUUGUUUUAAUUAAACAGUCGGAUUCCUCUGGUCUGCACCAGUUCUAAGUCAACUGCUAGUCACCGACCGAGGCGGGACAAGGCAUUAGGAUAUAUAUUUUUAAAAAAAUUGUUUGGGUGGGUGACUAGUUUAUUUUGUAUUAUGGUGUGUUUUGUAGCACUAGUUUUUAAUCCUGCUCUCUUCUAUCUGUUUGGAUGGAGGCUGUUUGUUUGACAAUGCUGUAAGCAUACAGCCCUCUGAUCACAACCCAUGGUGAUGGAGCCUGGAGAUAUUUCUUUCCUAUUAUUCCUAAAGGCAACAGUUCUUUUAUGACACUCUUACUGAAGUUACAUGUAACUUGAAGUUUCUGUUGCACAGUGCCUGUAGACUACUGUAACACCCUUGUAUUGCUUCAGGGUCUCAGAUGUAUGGCAUCCACCUCUGCAGAGUCUGUCAAGUCUUCUGCCUCUGGCUAGACAUUUUCAUAUUGGGAGCACAUUGAUCCAGAGUUUUAUGGAAUUAAAGUAAUCCCUUCCUGACAGAAAAAACGUGCAACCAUGCCUCUUGGUUUGGUGUUUUUUAUUCUUCUUCUAAUCCCCACCAUCAAUGUGCUCCCCUGCUUCAUCAAACCAUCUUUCACUCAGGGCCCCUGUUGUAUGCAGGAAGCUUCCUCUGUUUCUGAAGUGAUGUUCCAUUACCUUCAGUUCCUUUGCCAGGAAGUUCCCAGCUAAGGACUGCUCGCCGACCUGCUUAAAGGCAAUUUAUGAAGGUGUUCUCUAUGCAGGCUCCGUAUGCUCCAUCUCAGGCAUUGCAAACAGGGACCUUCAUCAUUUACCUUGAUGUGAAACUACGCCACAAGUCUGGAUGCCGGGAGACCAAGCCAGGUUCUACUUGUCCUUGAGCAGUGGUCCAUGCAGGCUGGCAGAAGCUCAACUGCACGCCACUGAAGUGUCGAGCCCAGCUCGGACAAGGUGAUGAUGUACCCAGAAUAAUACCUUUAUUGUCAUCAUAUAACCUGUGUACAAUGAAAUUAAAUGAGCCUCCCUCCUCCCUCCAACACUCAAUCUCGUUACACUCUGUGUGCUUAUCGAACAAAACACCACCUCGCAAGUCAAUUUUGCUAUGUUAUUUUCCGUCCCACAGCCUAACAGCCCACGGAUAGAAGCAAUUUUUGAGCCUGUUGGUACAACUGAUUAUACUUCUAUAUCUCCUGCCCGAGUUUAGUAGACCACCUGAGUUAUCUUGAUUUUCCAUGUGAGGUCCUCACUAAGGUAAACUCCCAGGAAUUUAAAGCAGGGGACUCUCUCCACACAGCACCCCCCCCAUAUACAAUGGGGCAGGUUCCCCUCUCUUCCUCCGGAAGUCCAACAGCAUCUCCUUUGUCUUACUAAUAUUUAGGUGCAAGUUAUUCUCUGAGCACCUAACCAAGAUUUGUUUGUUCAUUAAUAGGCUGCCACUGGAGUGGAUAUUGAGAUUGGCCCUAGGUUUCCUCUGCUGGAUGUAUCCAUACCUGUGCCAGAAUGUUCCUGUACUUCACGUGGAUCUGGAGCUUGGCGGUCAUGAAUUCUCACCGGAGCAGCAGAAGUUUCUGCCGUGAUUGGACUUAUUGUUUUGCAGCAAACGGUGACACAUAUAAUGUUGGAUCUGCAUGCAGAUAACCAGAACACGGGCAUGGAGGCUUUCUGUGAUGUUUCAAGUUGUUAAAUAAAAAUGAUUUGUGUAUUAGAAUAUAUAUUUCAGGUAAGUCUAGCUAAAUAAGAUGGUGCAUGCUUUAUAUCAAGGUUGUGCCAAGGUAGCCAGAUUUGAACAUGAAUCGUGGCGGACCAGAGGUGGUUCCAAGGACUUGCAGGGGGUGGCACCACCUACUGGUAAUUUUUGUUACAAUGAUAACUGAGAUUGCUUCCUUGCAUAUUUUUGCAUUGCUGUUGUGGGUUUUUCUUGCAAGCUGAGGAACAGAUUCACCGCAUAACUCCACUCCUUCUAGACCCCGAGGAACUUGCGGAAGAUUGGGCGUGUAGAUUGUUAGGGUGAACUAGAAGGGGUGGGUUGUGUUGAACCAAAGGUGAACUGUUCUGGAAGCUCUGCAAACACCAUUUUGGUAGUCAAGGUAACCCCACAAUUAAUAGGUAGUUGUUGUAGUGAUGAGCUCCUAUAAGCUAAUUGGCUUGUUUUGAUGCUAUCCUUAACUGGGGGCUUCGGGUGCAUGGAGUCCAGAAAGAGGAGCUAGCUGUAAGACUUUGGUAUUUGCCACCUAUGCCCCCAUCUGGUCAAGUGGAGUGAUGGGAAGUCCUGGCCGAAGUGAAGAAUGCUGCUUUGUGUACAAAGAUGCAUGAACGUUUGCUUGGAUGCAGACAAGCCAACUCCUUGCUGAGGUGUCUGUCCUGCAACUGUAAAGGGUGGGAGGCCUGGCAGACUGAUUUGCUGUAAUGAAGCUUUUAAUAAAGCACUAGAACUGA